GAUGAAGAACGUAGCGAAAUGCGAUAAGUAAUGCGAAUUGCAGAAUUUCCGUGAGUCAUCGAAUCUUUGAACGCACAUUGCGCCCGCCAGUAUUCUGGCGGGCAUGCCUGUCCGAGCGUCAUUUCAACCAUCAAGCCCCCGGGCUUGUGUUGGGGACCUGCGGCUGCCCGCAGGCCCUGAAAACCAGUGGCGGGCUCGCUGUCACACCGAGCGUAGUAGCAAUCACCUCGCUCAGGGCGUGCUGCGGGUUCCGGCCGUUAAACAGCCUUACAAAACCCAAGGUUGACCUCGGAUCAGGUAGGAAGACCCGCUGAACUUAAGCAUAUCAAUAAGCGGAGGA
This 340-nucleotide unclassified non-coding RNA is filed under the name soil metagenome. RNAcentral's name for it is "partial contains 5.8S ribosomal RNA, internal transcribed spacer 2, and large subunit ribosomal RNA". The stretch from base 1 to 121 matches the Rfam family "5.8S ribosomal RNA", at positions 35 to 154 of the family's 154-position model. The record is from RNAcentral.